UUUCUGUCCUUCCUUCCUUCCUUCCUUCCUUCCUUCCUUCCUUCCUUCCUUCCUUCCUUCCUUCCUUCCUUCCUUUCUUUCUUUCUUUCUUUCUUUCUUUCUUCCUUCCUUCCUUCCUUUCUCUCUCUCUUUCUUUCUUUCUUUCUUUCUUUCUUUCUGUCUUUCUUUUUUUCGUUCGUGUUUUCUUUCUUUCUCUCUCUCUCUCUUUCUUUGUUUCUUUGUUUCUUUCUUUUGUCUUUCUUUCUUUCUUUCUUUCUUUCUUUCUUUCUUUCCUUCCUUCCUUCCUUCCUUCCUUCCUUCCUUCCUUCCUUCCUUCCUUCCUUCCUUUAUCUCUCUUUCUCUCUUUCUCUCUCUUUCUUCCUUUCUCUCUCUCUCUCUCUCUCUCUCUUUCUUUUUUCUUUUUCUCUUCAGAAGGAUAAUUUCUCAGUGGGUUGUUAAGAGUGAGGACUUGUAUAAAGGCAUCCCCUACAGAAACA
RNAcentral lists this long non-coding RNA (476 nucleotides) under Monodelphis domestica (gray short-tailed opossum). RNAcentral's name for it is "lncRNA (ENSMODG00000042433.1)". Lineage: Eukaryota; Metazoa; Chordata; Mammalia; Didelphimorphia; Didelphidae. The record is from RNAcentral.